Molecule: non-coding RNA, 4437 nt
Organism: Odocoileus virginianus texanus
Lineage: Eukaryota; Metazoa; Chordata; Mammalia; Artiodactyla; Cervidae
Source: RefSeq, a predicted model, not a curated record
AGAAGAGGGUCUAGUGAAAUGUUCUGUGAGUGGACGUAAGAGUUCCUCCCAUCCUCCAUCCUGCCCAGAGUGAUCUUCAGGGUCACCAGGAAGCUGGAACCACUAGAUGUGAAUUGAGGGAUGGGCUUCCUGCUCACCUCUCAACUGGGAAUGUCCCCCUAGGGUCAUACACCAACUUGUUUUCUCACUGGCCUCGAAGGCCAUCUCAAGAUGCUGGAGUGUCACCUCCAAGCUCGAGAGCUGCCACCCUUGCCUGCUAUCUAUUCAUCCUUCUGCUAGUCUCAGAGUGCAGCCAUGGCCAACGGGACUUACCUGCCUAUGACAGCACAUCAGUAAUAGAUAUUGUCCCUUUCAGCCUAGUUAAUGAAGGAUCCAAGUCACGCCAGGUUUUAUCUGUCAGAGAAAUACCAGUAAGCAGGAUACAGAGACCAAACCAAACCCUGUUUGGAAGCAAUGAUCUUCAAGUAAAUCAGGAAAAAAUAUUGUUGGGUUUCUCUAGUGCAGACUCAUCACAGGAAACCAGCUGUCCCUCUGCCUGAGUUUCAAGGAUCUUAGUUUCAGAUCCAGGGCCACUGGGGGCAGAGGUCAAGGCAUGGGUAUUUCCUUGAUCAAGGAGCCAGGGACUUCUGUGAACACUAGACAGCCAGCCAUACAUCUACCCAGGUAAUCAGGCUGUAGAGGGGAGUGUGUCUCCCAUAACUAGUCAACAUGCAGCAAAUUUAAAAUUUGCUAAAUUUUAAGUACAUAAAAUCUUAAGUACAUAAUUCCUAAAAAUAAUAAUAAUAAUAAUAAAGCAACUAAAAUCCAGUCUCAUAUGUUCCAACCUAAAAAGGGGAAAGAAUUGUCUAUUUUAUUAGAAACAUCUCUCCUGAAGAUUAUGGAAAAAAGGCUGCAGGACUGGCUUCUGGACUCACUGUCACCACUAACUAACCAGCCCCAGGACCAUUUGGCUACUGAAAAUCUUUGAAGUCACGUUAGCCCUCCGGCCCAGUCUCCUCAUCUGGGGAAAGAGGGCAUCUGGCUGAAAAAUAAAAAUAGCCGAUGUUUUUUGAGUAUUUACCAUGCUCUGGAAAAUGUGCUAAGAGCUCAAUUAUUUUAAAACAUUAAUAAUUCUAUGGUUAUCAGCUCUUCACCACACUGGGAGGUGCAGACCAUCAUGAUCCCGUUUAUCAGAUCAGGAUCCUGGGGCCAGAGAGAUGAGUGAUGUCCAGGUGGAGACUCCAGGACUGGACGGAGGGGCUGAGGGUUGCUACUCUAUUACUGAUUCUAAUAUACUAUCUUCUUCUGUGAGCAGAAGGCUCCUUCCAGCAAUAGGAUGUGACUUGCUUCAUUGACCUGGCUCAUCUGCAGGGGCAUUUGUAGAAAGUGGCCUCUGAGCUGCCGCUAGACCUGCAAAGACCUGAUAGUCACCAGAUAGGCAGGUAGGGAAGGCCAUUUGCCAGACUAGAUCCACUGAAGGUCUUCCUUGUUGUGCUGGGUGUUGUUUAAUUUCCUCCUGCUCACUAAUACGGUCAGUUGGAAUUUGGUAUCCAUUCACACUUCUUUGUUGAGUGCUUCCUGUCCUGCUGAUGUUGAUCAGCCAAAAGCUAUGUUUUCCAGAGUCCCUUCUGCAGUAAGCUGACAUUCAGGUGGCCCCAACAAUCCCUUGAGCAUAGCCUCCAGCCAACAGCCUGCAGGAAGUCGAGACCUCAGCCCAACAGUCCUGGAAGAAUGGACUUGGCCAGCAGUUAAGAGAGCUUGAAAGCAGGUCCUUCCUCAGUCAAGCUUUCAGAUGAAACCCCAGUCCUGGCCAGCACAUUCUUUGCCACCUCUAAGAAACUCCAAGGCAGAGAACCAAGCCAAGCCCCCUGACCCACAGAACCUAUGAGAUAAUCAACAUGUGCUAAAUUUAUGAUAGCCUGUUAAACAGCAGCAGGUGGCAAGUAUUUAGUUCUGCCUAUCAGACAUUCUCCUUGGGAUGUAGAACACGGAAGGGAAGCAUAUUCUUGCUCCUUCUGUCUGGUUUCAACCAGUCUGUGUGAGGUCACCAGCCUGCAUUCCAGGAAGUGGUGGCCAGGAUGAAGCCUGAGAAUCUUGGUGGUUAUGAUCGUAGCCUAGCACCCAGAUGGGGAGAUCACAGUCCCACAUGUCAUCAAUAGAUCGGUGGGUCUCCCAAUUUCCCACCUUCCCAAAGGGAGAAGUCAUCUGGACCAGUCAUCAGAAACCCCAUUCCUCUGGCCAACUUCCUGAGAACCAGGAGAGCAAACACACCACAUCUGGGGGCCCUCCCAUCUGUCCCAUAACCGUCUCCCCUAAGCUAAACAGGCUCCAAAUGUCAUCUCUGCUGCAGUCUUAUCUUCUUCUCCGUCCACUAUAUAGCAUCGCUCUAUUUCAGGUGAGAUAUCAUUCUCAAUUUAAUUAAAGUCAGAGGAAUAAUGGCUACAGGGCUAUGUUUCUAGCAGGGAUCCCAAAUGCCAAGGAGCUUGUGAAUUUCUCUAACAAGAGAAGGGUCAAGAUCAUCCAUGUAUUUUAAAGACAAGUAUUCACCUCUCCACCCCACCUGCCCCCACCAGUUUGCAAACAAUUGGGCACAAGUAGGCCCCAAACCGCAGGCCAGCCAGCAACCUUCGAUUUUCUUGUUGGCUGAAGAGCGAAACAAGCACAUGUGCUUCCUUCACUGGCACUGACUGAAGCUGAGCCACAUGCUCAGGAAGGAUGCUCUGGACCAGGGAUACAGCCGCCAGCCUGGCAGGAGCUCGUCCCUGGCCCUACGCUGUUCCCUGAGAGGAGGACACCGCAGACAUCAUGAGAAGAGGCAGGGAGGCAUCCCUAAAAACAGUCAUUGGAUGCUGAGGCUCAGCUGCUAACCCAUCUUCCCUGCAUGUUCUUGACUCCCGAAACCACCUGCUAGGUCUCAGCCAAACGCACCUCCCAGACACCAGUUUUAUGUUUAAAGAGAUGGUUGGAGUCACUGGAAAUCCAGCCAGAGACUCUGCUCUGAACAUCACAUCACCUCCUUUCUCCAUGCUCUGCUGCAGAAGUUCAAACUACCCUUCAUCCUGCGACACAGCCUAAAUAGACUCUCCACUACCCCUCCCUAUGCUCUGUUAGAGAACUAUCCUGAUGAGUUCCCUUGAAAUGCUUUGACCAGACACGCUGUAUACUAGUUGUUUGCAAGCUGCAUGAAACGGUCCUUUAACUGGCUUAUAGGAAACAAAAGACAUCCCCAUCCUCACCGGUUUCACCAUCUCUCAGGCAAUCCCUGUGAAAUGCCAGCAGCCCACAUGUCACAGCAGUCACAUUGCGGUGUUCUUUUCCUACCGCCGAUCGCUGUGGUGUGAACACCUCUGCCAUCCACAUGACAAGGCCCGUGGCAUCCUCUGUGCUCCCCAGUGGGUGUGAGGGAGUCGGACAGCACACCUUUGGCCUCACUGCUCUGUUAGCCCGCGUCAGAAGUUGCUCUGGUGGACUGGGUGGGUUCCUCGCACCUCCCAUUAGAACCACCUGUCACCUCUGGAGACGCACCUGAGCCAAGGAACCAGCUCCUUCAUGAACCAGGUGUCAUGACUGUAAAAAUCCAACAGAGCGAAAGCCACAUCCAUACGGGGUUCUGAGCCACACGGUUCGGUCAGGGGCAGACUCCGGGCCCAGAGAACGCUGACGACUCCCCCGGCCCCAUCGCUUCGGGGACCUCAUCAGCUGCCCUUCUGGGCUGCGCUCUAAUUCUCUUAUUCUCUGCAGACUUGGAAAGACAGAACAUUAAGAAGUCAUUUUCCCACCCAUACUUUCCAUGCAUCCAACUCUGCUCAGCUGGAGCUUCUCUGUCUUUGGGCAUCUUGUUUCCCAUCUCACAUGUUCCCAGGAGUCAAGAACCUUUUAGGGAAGAGAGGCUAGCAGCUCAGCCAUGUUAGGUGCCAGCAUGAUUAUGGCUGCACCCGGGUCACUGGGCAUCCAUCUCUGGGUGUCGUGGCUCCCAGAAUUUCUGUGGGGAGUGGAGCAUGGUCAUCUCCCUGCAGCUCAUUCCAAAUAAGAACUAGGAGCAGGUAAUGGACCCGUUGAUUUUCAUUUUUUUAAGGAAUAAUAAUACCUGAUAGGAUAUGAAUUACACUGUUCUUUUUUUCCUUCGACAAUCUGCAUUUGCAGCAUUUUUCAUCAAUUCGAAGCAUUCAAAUAAAGAUCAUCUAGCAUGCCUGGGAUAAUUACGUCUAUCAAAGAACACUCACGGGUGCACAAAGCUUGGAAAUGCUACGCCAACGAUUUGUUUGAAGUGCAACCCAAGGAGAGGUGUAUCUAUAGUAACCACAGGCAGGUAUUCAAAUACCACUGUAUUUCCUGAUAAUGGGUCCAUUAAUGAAAUAGCAGUUUGAUUUUCAAUCGCACUUAAUGAUACCUUUUGUGUAACCAACAUCCCUAUGUGCCGACAUGUUCAAACGGGCUGCUGCAAGUGGAGGGACAAAG